GAACUGAACUGGGAACCAAUCAACAAGGGAAACCAGGAGAUGCAGUCCCUGAAGAUCAGCCUCAAGUAAGGCAGGGGAAGAGAAUACAUAGAUCUGUGGAGAAGAGUGGUGAUGGUGGGAGCUGCCAAUAAAGAACCACCAAAAAGGAUGAUGCACCACAAAAGCCAUCACCAGAUACCAGCACCUUAAUGUUGGACUUCUCAGCCUCCAGAACUAUAAUCCAGCUGCCGUGUCAUGAGGACAAUCAGAUGGCUUAUAAAGGGCCCCUGGGACAAGGAACUGAGGUAUUUUUCCAACAGCCAACAAGGAACCGAGGUCUGCCAACAACCAUGUGAGUGAGCACGGAAUUUUCUAGCUCCAGAUGACCGCGGCUUUGGCCAACAGCUUGUCUUGAGACACCCUGAGCCAGCACCACUCAGCUAAGCCACUUCCAGAUUCCUGCCCCUCAAAACUGUGUGACUUGUUGUUUUGAGAUGCUAAGUAUUACAGUAAUUCGGCAACAGAUAACAACUAUAUUCUGGAUACAAGUGUUUCUGAUAUGUAUGAUUUGCAAAUACAUU
This is a long non-coding RNA of Rhinopithecus roxellana (golden snub-nosed monkey), 560 nucleotides long. RefSeq lists it as uncharacterized. The transcript is spliced from 3 exons. Lineage: Eukaryota; Metazoa; Chordata; Mammalia; Primates; Cercopithecidae. The record is from RefSeq and is a predicted model, not a curated record.